RNAcentral lists this transfer RNA (83 nucleotides) under Bacteroidetes bacterium ADurb.Bin041. RNAcentral describes it as "tRNA-Leu". It matches the Rfam family "tRNA". Rfam says of the family: Transfer RNA (tRNA) molecules are approximately 80 nucleotides in length. Their secondary structure includes four short double-helical elements and three loops (D, anti-codon, and T loops). Further hydrogen bonds mediate the characteristic L-shaped molecular structure. tRNAs have two regions of fundamental functional importance: the anti-codon, which is responsible for specific mRNA codon recognition, and the 3' end, to which the tRNAs corresponding amino acid is attached (by aminoacyl-tRNA synthetases). tRNAs cope with the degeneracy of the genetic code in two manners: having more than one tRNA (with a specific anti-codon) for a particular amino acid; and 'wobble' base-pairing, i.e. permitting non-standard base-pairing at the 3rd anti-codon position. The record is from RNAcentral. Lineage: Bacteria; Pseudomonadati; Bacteroidota.
GCGGAUGUGGCGGAAUUGGUAGACGCUCCAGACUUAGAAUCUGGUGCCGCGAGGCGUGGGGGUUCGAGUCCCUUCAUCCGCAC